UUUAUCGCCCACAAAAAUAUAAGUUACUGCCGAUAUCGUACGUGCUAUCGAUAAGCACAGCUUUGCUUCUACAUCGAUAGCUCUACAGGCAACAUUGUUGGAUGUGCAGAUAGAUAAAACUGGCCACAAAACAGGCGCAGAAAUUUUCAAUGUAAAACAACAUAAUUUGGAAAUUUAUAA
Drosophila mojavensis is the source of this 180-nucleotide long non-coding RNA. RefSeq lists it as uncharacterized. The transcript is spliced from 2 exons. The record is from RefSeq and is a predicted model, not a curated record. NCBI's taxonomy places the organism in Eukaryota, Metazoa, Arthropoda, Insecta, Diptera, Drosophilidae.